This 406-nucleotide ribosomal RNA is filed under the name uncultured bacterium. RNAcentral's name for it is "partial 16S ribosomal RNA". It matches the Rfam family "Bacterial small subunit ribosomal RNA", at positions 30 to 526 of the family's 1533-position model. The record is from RNAcentral.
AUUGAACGCUGGCGGCAGGCCUAACACAUGCAAGUCGAGCGAGCGGCGGACGGGUGAGUAAUGUAUGGGGAUCUGCCCGAUAGAGGGGGAUAACUACUGGAAACGGUGGCUAAUACCGCAUACUAUCGGAUGAACCCAGAUGGGAUUAGCUAGUAGGUGGGGUAAAGGCUCACCUAGGCGACGAUCCCUAGCUGGUCUGAGAGGAUGACCAGCCAUACUGAGACGUGGACACGGCCCAGACGCCUACGGGAGGCAGCAGUGGGGAAUAUUGCACAAUGGGCGCAAGCCUGAUGCAGCCAUGCCGCGUGUAUGAAGAAGGCCUUCGGGUUGUAAAGUACUUUCAGCGGGGAGGCGUUACCCGCAGAAGAAGCACCGGCUAACUCCGUGCCAGCAGCCGCGGUAAUAC